UCCGUCCUUGGACCUUUAGUGGAGAGAAUAUGCUGCAAGGAUUCGAAUACGUUGGAAAGUAGUCUUGAAAAUAUGAACUCUUCCUCCUUUUGAAGAAACGAACACCACCAAAACACCAAGACUGCCCCAAAAAUCUAAACACUCUUACCUCAGCGGUGCCUUGAAGGUAAUCCAGUAAAGCCCUUCACCCAAUUUACCUCAAUACAUUGAACUUACUUCAUGUGUCCGGAAAACAGUUGUGAAAGCAUUUAGCUCCAUCCAUCGCAAAAACAACUCUUCACUUCUUCGGUAAUUAAUAAACGAACCCAGCAUGAUCAAAGUGAUUGCCAGCUUAAGUGGACUGUUUUGAAGAAUCAAGUUGAGAUAUAGAACCUGAAUAGAGGGUGGCAUCCACAGGCAGGCCUUCACCAAAAUCAGCCAUCCAUCCUCUGACUCCAUCAUCCACCAUUUCCUGAAGAUUCUGCUUGAACCAACUUGCAGUAUCUGGAUGUGUCAAGUCCAACAUUCCUACAUCAAAAGCUGUAUUUGGAACCAUAGACGUGCAUUACCUGCAACCAAAAUGCUGAAAUAGGAGCAUUGUAAGUCUUGAGCUCAUUCCAAAUAUGGCGUACAGAUUCUGUGCCACCCUGCAUGCCAACAACAGCU
Molecule: long non-coding RNA, 645 nt
Organism: Prunus dulcis (almond)
Lineage: Eukaryota; Viridiplantae; Streptophyta; Magnoliopsida; Rosales; Rosaceae
Exons: 4
Source: RefSeq, a predicted model, not a curated record